CCCCUUUACCCUCAACUACGCGCGCUAGCCCCUCGCCCCGCCCCCUUCGCCUCGCGACGAGACGCAGCUUCAGCGAGGACGAGUGGAAGGGGCGGGACGAAGCGUCGAUAGUGACGUACUUGAGAGGAGGGAGCCGGUUGCCAGGAGACGGGUCAAGAGGGAGAGCCACAAGUUUAGCGUGAACAACACAGAAUACUGGAAAUUUCAGCUGGAAGAAACAAAGAAAAGAAAAUACAAAGAAGAAAAAGAAAAGAGAUGCGUCUUCCAUGGCUGCAUAGUUUGGCAAUCAUUUCCAUGAUGAAUAAGUUGCCUGCAGGAAAUGAAAAAUGCCUUGUCAAUUCUGAAAUAAAAAGCCCAACUGCAGAUAUGCAAAAAAGGUAGGCAGAACAAUGUCUUAUUUUAUGUGAAAAGAUGCCAUCUUAGGUCUGAAGGAGAUGUCUGGUCUUAAAACCACUUUGUCCUUAUGGAAUCUCAGGAAUAGUGAAUCAAAUCUGGUCGAUGCAAUGGCUACCAAAAUGUCUUCAAAGAAAGUCCUUAAAGAAAGAUACUUGAGAAUAGAAUGUAGCCAUAGUUAAAAAUGUUAAAUAAAAAUAGUUCCAAAUAGUUUUGUCCUGAGCAUUGACAAAACUAGGGAGAGUUACCAAAGUGAAAUCAGUUCCUUUAUGGUCAGAGACAGAUUACUAGCACCCCCUCAUAAACUUUUUAACAAAAGGGUGAGAAAACUGUAGGACAGGAUGGCUGUUCAACUCCUAAGAGAAAAAACCACCAUAGUGAGAACUC
Hemicordylus capensis (graceful crag lizard) is the source of this 780-nucleotide long non-coding RNA. RefSeq lists it as uncharacterized. The record is from RefSeq and is a predicted model, not a curated record. Lineage: Eukaryota; Metazoa; Chordata; Lepidosauria; Squamata; Cordylidae. The transcript has 3 exons.